CAGCAGCCGCGGGAACACGUAGGGUGCGAGCGUUAAUCGGAAUUACUGGGCGUAAAGCGUGCGCAGGCGGUUCGUUAAGACAGAUGUGAAAUCCCCGGGCUUAACCUGGGAACUGCAUUUGUGACUGACGGGCUAGAGUAUGGCAGAGGGGGGUAGAAUUCCACGUGUAGCAGUGAAAUGCGUAGAGAUGUGGAGGAAUACCGAUGGCGAAGGCAGCCCCCUGGGCCAAUACUGACGCUCAUGCACGAAAGCGUGGGGAGCAAACAGGAUUAGAUACCCCAGUAGUCCCUGUCUCUUAUAC
This 301-nucleotide ribosomal RNA is filed under the name uncultured bacterium. Its description in RNAcentral is "partial 16S ribosomal RNA". It matches the Rfam family "Bacterial small subunit ribosomal RNA", at positions 509 to 807 of the family's 1533-position model. The record is from RNAcentral.